RNAcentral lists this ribosomal RNA (253 nucleotides) under uncultured bacterium. RNAcentral's name for it is "partial 16S ribosomal RNA". It matches the Rfam family "Bacterial small subunit ribosomal RNA", at positions 524 to 776 of the family's 1533-position model. The record is from RNAcentral.
UACGGAGGGUGCUAGCGUUGUUCGGAAUUACUGGGCGUAAAGCGCGUGUAGGCGGCCGAUUAAGUCUGGUGUGAAAGCCCGGGGCUCACCCCCGGAAGUGCGCUGGAAACUGGUCGGCUAGAGUAUGGGAGAGGAAAGUGGAAUUCCCGGUGUAGCGGUGAGAUGCGUAGAUAUCGGGAGGAACACCAGCGGCGAAGGCGGCUUUCUGGACCAAUACUGACGCUGAGACGCGAAAGCGUGGGGAGCAAACAGG